GCCAGUGUGGUGUAGCGGUUUGAUUGUUAGACUACAACUCUGGAGAUCAGGGUUCAAAUCCCCACUCA
Non-coding RNA from Phrynosoma platyrhinos (Desert horned lizard), 68 nucleotides. The record is from the annotation of a GenBank genome assembly. NCBI's taxonomy places the organism in Eukaryota, Metazoa, Chordata, Lepidosauria, Squamata, Phrynosomatidae.